RNAcentral lists this ribosomal RNA (401 nucleotides) under uncultured bacterium. Its description in RNAcentral is "bacterial SSU rRNA". It matches the Rfam family "Bacterial small subunit ribosomal RNA", at positions 356 to 774 of the family's 1533-position model. The record is from RNAcentral.
CGGGAAUUUUGGGCAAUGGGCGAAAGCCUGACCCAGCAACGCCGCGUGAGGGAUGAAGUAUUUCGGUAUGUAAACCUCGAAAGAAUGGGAAGAAUAAAUGACGGUACCAUUUAUAAGCUCCAGCUAACUACGUGCCGGCAGCCGCGGUAAUACGUAGGGAGCAAGCGUUGUUCGGAUUUACUGGGCGUAAAGGGCGCGUAGGCGGCGCGGUAAGUCACUUGUGAAAUCUCUGAGCUUAACUCAGAACGGCCAAGUGAUACUGCUGUGCUAGAGUGCGGAAGAGGCAACCGGAAUUCUUGGUGUAGCGGUGAAAUGCGUAGAUAUCAAGAGGAACACCUGAGGCGAAGGCGGGUUGCUGGGCCGACACUGACGCUGAUGCGCGAAAGCCAGGGGAGCAAACG